GCUCAGAACUCAAAGGAAUUGACGGGGGCCCGCACAAGCGGAGGAGCAUGUGGUUUAAUUCGAUGAUACGCGAGGAACCUUACCUGGGCUCGAACGUAAGAUGACUGUAGGUGAAAGCUUACAUCUCUUCGGAGCAUUUUACGAGGUGCUGCAUGGUUGUCGUCAGCUCGUGCCGUGAGGUGUCGGGUUAAGUCCCAUAACGAGCGCAACCCCUACCUUUAGUUGCCAUCAGGUUAAGCUGGGGACUCUAAAGGAACUGCCUACGCAAGUAGUGAGGAAGGCGGGGAUGACGUCAAAUCAGCACGGCCCUUACGUCCAGGGCUACACACGUGCUACAAUGGCCGAUACAGAGGGCAGCUACCUGGUGACAGGAUGCAAAUCUCCAAAGUCGGUCUCAGUUCGGAUCGGAGUCUGCAACCCGACUCCGUGAAGUUGGAUUCGCUAGUAAUCGCGCAUCAGCCACGGCGCGGUGAAUACGUUCCCGGGCCUU
RNAcentral lists this ribosomal RNA (490 nucleotides) under uncultured Sphingobacteriales bacterium. RNAcentral's name for it is "bacterial SSU rRNA". It matches the Rfam family "Bacterial small subunit ribosomal RNA", at positions 892 to 1382 of the family's 1533-position model. Lineage: Bacteria; Pseudomonadati; Bacteroidota; Sphingobacteriia; Sphingobacteriales. The record is from RNAcentral.